Molecule: ribosomal RNA, 1196 nt
Filed under: Azospirillum rugosum
Lineage: Bacteria; Pseudomonadati; Pseudomonadota; Alphaproteobacteria; Rhodospirillales; Azospirillaceae
Description: partial 23S ribosomal RNA
Rfam family: Bacterial large subunit ribosomal RNA
Source: RNAcentral
ACCACCCUCCAAGCCUAAGUACUCCUCAGUGACCGAUAGUGCACCAGUACCGUGAGGGAAAGGUGAAAAGCACCCCGACGAGGGGAGUGAAACAGCUCCUGAAACCGGAUGCCUACAAGCAGUCGGAGCGGCCUUGUGCCGUGACGGCGUACCUUUUGUAUAAUGGGUCAGCGACUUGGAGUCUGCAGCGAGCUUAAGCCGGUAGGCGAAGGCGCAGCGAAAGCGAGUCUGAACAGGGCGUCAGAGUUGCAGGCUUCAGACCCGAAACCCGGUGAUCUAGCCAUGGACAGGUUGAAGGUGCGGUAACACGCACUGGAGGACCGAACCCACGCCUGUUGAAAAAGUCGGGGAUGAUCUGUGGCUAGGGGUGAAAGGCCAAUCAAACCGGGAAAUAGCUGGUUCUCCGCGAAAGCUAUUUAGGUAGCGCGUCGCGUGAUUGCCUGCGGGGGUAGAGCACUGGAUGGGCUAGGGGGGCGCGAGCCUUACCAAACCUAACCAAACUCCGAAUACCGCAGAGCACAGCGCGGCAGACAGACGGUGGGUGCUAAGGUCCAUCGUCGAGAGGGAAACAGCCCAGACCGCCAGCUAAGGCCCCCAAAUCACGGCUAAGUGGGAAAGGAUGUGGGAAGGCCAUGACAACCAGGAGGUUGGCUUAGAAGCAGCCAUCCUUUAAAGAAAGCGUAAUAGCUCACUGGUCUAGUUAAGCCGGCCUGCGCCGAAAAUGUAUCGGGGCUCAAGCCGUGUGCCGAAGCUGCGGAUGUAUCGCAAGAUACGUGGUAGCGGAGCGUUCCGUAAGCCUGCGAAGGGCGUCCGUGAGGCCGCCUGGAGGUAUCGGAAGUGAGAAUGCUGACAUGAGUAGCGACAAACAGUGUGAGAAACACUGUCGCCGAAAGUCCAAGGGUUCCUGCGCAAGGUUAAUCCACGCAGGGUGAGCCGGCCCCUAAGGCGAGGCCGAGAGGCGUAGUCGAUGGGAACCAGGUUAAUAGUCCUGGGCCAGCGGGUGUGUGACGAAUGGGUAAGCGUGUACGUCCUUAUCGGAUUGGACGUGCUGUGGCCCCGUUCCAGGAAACAGCCCCCGCAUGAGACCGUACCCGAAACCGACACAGGUGGACUGGUAGAGCAUACCCAGGCGCUUGAGAGAAUGGUGUUGAAGGAACUCGGCAAAUUGCCCUCGUAACUUCGGAAGAAGAGGGCCC